UGAAUGCCAUCUGUGUUGGAGCC
RNAcentral lists this non-coding RNA (23 nucleotides) under Rattus norvegicus (Norway rat). Lineage: Eukaryota; Metazoa; Chordata; Mammalia; Rodentia; Muridae. The record is from RNAcentral.